UUCCCUAUGCUCAUGACUUCACAGACUAAAAAAUAAUCUCUCAAAGAUGCUUAAUGAUUGAUGUUGGUCUCUCUGGCUGAGCUUUUUUUUAGCAUAUACUUCCAAAUCAGAAACAGCCAAGAAACUACAAAUGUAUCAGUUACUCCAUCACAAUUCUUUGUUCUAUUUUUGCUCAUCAAGCAUGCAGUAAUGACUGUGCAUGGCAAACGUGGCAGACCUCCAAUCAAGAACAAGCAUCAAUUUGGCGAAGCUGUGACCACUAAUUAUAAUUAAGGUUGGUAUGAACCCCUCUUCCCGACUUCGAUUUCAAAGUUUUUCUUUCAUUUUUUAUACAAUUUUUGUUCGCAAUUGUUCUAUAUAUAAUCUAUACACAGUGAGAUUUGCUUUAUUGUUCCCUUUGUGUUGCUCAAGAAAACAUGAGAAUCCGAGCAAAGUGGAAGUUCCUGAGCAAACAAUUCAGGAACUUACACUUUUCUUUAUAUAUAUAUAUAUAUAUAUAUAUAUAGAUAAGCAACAUCUGUGUAGUGUAGGAGAAAUGAGGGGAAUAUUUUUGGCAUUGGGAAAGGGAUGGGAUAUGAUACCCACACUCAAAAGUGUUUGAUUGGGUUUAGCUUUACCAUAUUGGAUUUCAAUUCUGGCUUUGUACUAGCAUCGUGCUUUCGCAUUUGCUUCUACUGAAACUACAUAAUAUACAAAGGGAAUAUACGCAGAAGAAAUAAUUUAAACAAACAAACUUCCCAUUCAUAUAUUUUAGAAAAAGAAAAUUUUAUCAAUUGGUAAAAAGGAUUAGCUAUAGAACCAACUCUUUACCAAUUAGUACACUGAAACAAACAUAAUUCUCUGUAAAAGUAAAAUUAAUUGCAAGCUGAAAUUUUCACCAUUCUUAUUGAAAAAUCACUCCCAUUACGACAGUGCGAUAGUAGAUGGUUGAACAAAUCCAGGGAAUAAGCAUAUAAAAUAAAAAAACAAUCAUAAAGCAUUUAGUAAAAGAUAUGGUUCUUGUACUUAGAUUGUAAAGAUGGAAUGGAAUAUGAAGCAAAGUGUUGGAUUAUGACAGCAAUCACUCAUAGACCUGAUGCAUUUCUAAACUUUAAAUUUAAGAGGCUUAAAUGCAAAUAUUUUAAGCUUUCAACUUAGAGGUUCUUUUACCCAUUCAACUUACUUUCAAAAAUGUUAUGUUUCUGAAUGUGUCAUUGAAAAAUAUGCUACACCUUCAAACUGAAAAGCAUAUAGUAAAAACAGAUGCAGACAUGGAAAGAAGUUCUGCAUGUAGAAAACAUCAAACUAAUUACAUUAUCGAACAAAAAGUAACUAAGAUUACCAAUUUUCCAAUAAUGUAAGCACCAAAAUGAGAAAAAAAAAAUGGAAUCAUGUUAUGCUUCAUAGUUAUGUAGCCUCCACUUUUCUUAAAUAACAUGCUAAUGCAUAUAAAUAUGAAAGAAAAUUGCAUCAAAUGGUUAACAAAACAAUUUGCUGCUUACUCGGGUUUAUUUUGCAUGACUUCUUGAAUUUUUUGCAAUGUAUUUGCAUCACAUUCAUGGCUACAAAGACAUACUUUUGUCUUAUUGUUUUUUUAUUCCUGUACUUUUUCCUUCUCAUAAAUAAUUUGGCAGACCAACAACAUACUUGUUUAUUUCAAUGGGGGCAUGUGAAGGGCUUUUACUAAAUUAUUAUACAUACUUUAGAAGAGACAUUACUAAUAAGUAUCAGAAUCUAAAUCACAAAAGGAAAAAGGAAGAUGUCCAUGAUGCUUCUUGAUGCAAAUAAACAAUGCAAUCAAUGUCCAAUGAGUUUUGGUUCAGUGGUAUUAGAAUGGUCUUCAGAACUAUAACAUUGCAAAUUUGAACCCCAAACAAGGCCAAAUUAACCAAAAAAAAAAAAAAAGCUCAAUCAAUGAGAACAAAUAACUCAUAUAAAAUGACAAAAUUAAGCUUCAACACCUACAACAUUAGUUCCUUUGAGUAGAUAAAUCUCAAUCUAGUUUUAUGCAUACCAUUACUUUCCCUAAAAUGGAUAUGUCCAUGGAAUUAGCUUCUUUUUUUUUUUUUUUUUCUCUGUUGCAAGAGAUGCAAAAUUUCAUUUAGAACAAUCAUUUCUGAAAUUAAGAACAAUUUUUUUUUUUUUAACCGUUAACUGUGAAUAUAUUAUCUUGAAAAAUUAUUUGUGUUUUAAAGAAACAAUUAAACUACAUUCAUAUGCUUUCAAGAAUACAUCAUUAUACAUGUCAAAUCAUAAAUAUUUUGUUUUUUCCCUUAGCCAAGAUUUCAUUAUUACUAUCUUCAUCAUUAUUACUCUCUUCACUAUUACUAUAUUCCUAUAUAAAGGUUUUCAGCCAAAGUAGAAUAGCAGAAAAAAAAAUACUAAAUAGGCAAAUGAUGUACUGUGCUGGUGACAGACACAGCAACAACCCUGCUCAAUUAUAUUUUUUUAAAAUACUUUAUAUAACAUGAACAUUUAAAACAAGUAGAUAGAUGCAUCCAAUAAAUUUUCCACAGAAAGUAUGUUCCACUGAAAUCAAGCUUAGAUUACACAGUUUACAUAUAGCAGAAAAUUCAUUUCCAGUUAUAAUAUCUAGCCAAACAACUUAUAAUGCACCUUAACUUUCCAAACCAAGUGUAGAUAGCCAAUAUUGGCUCAAAAUGACAAAAACAAAUUAAUAUUUAACAGAAAAAAUCCAUAAUCAUCAGCUAGUAUCUAAGGUAAAACACUUCACAUCACUGAUCUGGUAUACAAACAACUUCCACAUUUUUCUAUUAAUCAUGUAUAUGAUAUACAUAGUAGUCUACUAUAUAUAACAAAAUUAUGAAUUUUGUUCUAGAGGAUUUUUUAUUCAUUUUAAAACUAGCAAUAAUAAUAAAGUAUGCAUUGGUUUUGAUAGCAUUUAAUCUCAUAAUAACUAUAUUUUUAGAAUGAAAAUUAACACCUAAAAGGACAUUUCUUUGCCUGUAAUUGGAAAUGAGUGAGAUUUGGUUAAAGUAACUUCUUUAAUUUAGACUUCACAAAAGAUUAGAUGCAAAUGAUGUGAACAAAAAUAAUAUUUAAACAAAUUAUUUAUGCACUUAAACUAAAAUAGAGGUAAUCAUAUAUAUAUAUAUAUAUAUAUAUAUAUAUAUAUAUAUAUAUAAAAAAAAAGAAAGAAGAUCCGUCAGCAAUCUUUUUGUUUCUGAGAAAGAAAUAAAGAAAAAAAAAGGUCUUUUUUUUUUUAAUUACUUCAUACAAGAAAAUGAACACAUUAAAGACAACCAAAUCUUAGUUAAACAAAAAGAAAAUGUACCCAUCUGAAGAGGCGAAAGCUUGUGGUUUCUAUUUGAUCUUAGUUGAUGUUGCAGUACAAAAACUAAACCAGUGCAAUAUGACAAAUAUACAUUUAAUAGGAAAGAUACAGAAUGGAUGUGGGUAGUCUCAUUAGGUGUCGGCAAUAUUGAAAACAAACUGUUUACAUCCAAAAAUAAUAGUAUUAGCAAAGAAACAAGAAACCAUUUUUCAAGAAACAAAGACUUCUUUUUCUUCUUAUUGGGAGGAGAGAAAUCUUUUAGGUGCAGAGAGUCUAUAUAUAAUGUAUAGUAAUUAAAAGAAGAGAACAUGUUUUGGGUCAGAUGGUUUGUAGAGUAAGGAAAGCUUCUCAAUCUUUCAGUUUCUUCACAUGAUCCAAAUUUUCACUUAUUAAGAAACAUUAAUAUAACCAUAUCAAAAUCACAUCAACUCUACAUAUAUAACAGUAGGUGUACAUAUAAAUAACAUGUUGCAGGUGCAUUAAACUAGAGUAGUUGAUGAGUAAUAUUUCCAUUUUUAUCAUCAAAGUCACAUCUUUGCAUGUCUAUUCUAAUUAAGGAACUCAUGAGAGAAAAUUAAUGAUAUAAUAAUAAUAAUAAUGUAAUAAUAAGUGUUCACAUGAGCAUGUUUUAUUUGUUUUGUUUAAUUAAAUUCUGAUAAGUACUAAGACCAUUUCAAUAUCAAUUUGCAAAAGAACAUUUACGAUUUGUGAACUUGUUUUUCAGGAAAGAGGGAAAAUUUUAAUUUAAAAUAAUAAUUAAUUAAUAAUAUUAUAUAAUAACAAUAUCACAUGAGCAUUUUUUGUUUCUUUUAAUUAAUUAGGCUUAAUUAGCAACCUUACCCUUGUAAAACCAUUUCAAUAUCAGUAUUAAAAAAACAAAAAUCAUUUAUUUGUGAACAUGUUUUUCAAGAAAGAGGAAGAGAGAGAGAGUUUUUUUUCUUAUUUCAAUUUUUCUUUGAGUUACCUUUUGAACUAGAAUGAUCUCUCAUGCAUGGCUGGACACUGCCCAUACCGCGUUAAGAAAAAUGUUGUCGUCUUUGUAGUUUGUCCAACCAUAGAAGAAACCAUUUCAAACCGGCAAAUUUACGGGUAAGCAGGGAAAAAGCACCUUCCAAUAUCAAUAUGCUACAACUAGCUAGCUAGUGUAAUGCAAAUUCAACUCAAACAGACAAAAAAUUAUAUAAUAAUAACAAUAAUAGUAAAUUUAGAAAAGAAAAUCAAGAAACAGCCACAUACUACACUACACUAUACGCUACAUGCUUGUACCAACACAACUUCAGAAAGAAAUAAAUCAAGAAUCAAGAAUUAAAGAAAUGAAGAACCAAGUAAGAAAGAAAAAUAUGAAUAACUUAAAUUUAAGCUAUGAAAUUUGGACGAGAACAACAACAACAGCACGUUCUCUAUUUCUCUCUCUCUCUCUCUCUUUUUUUUUUUCUCUUUCUUUCUUUUUUUUUCUUUUUUUUUAUUACUAUUAUUUUUCAUGAUCUUGGAUUUGGGAAGAAUUGCGUACCAGCAAUGAAAGUAUUGAGUGGAGUUGGGUAUAGAGAAGAUGCAUCCAUAAAAGCAGCUGCACUAGAUGAAGCAGAUGUUACACCACCACCACCAGCAGUGGGAGAUAUUGCAACUGAUGACGCAGAGACAGUACCAGC
Molecule: long non-coding RNA, 4923 nt
Filed under: Jatropha curcas
Lineage: Eukaryota; Viridiplantae; Streptophyta; Magnoliopsida; Malpighiales; Euphorbiaceae
Description: long non-coding RNA (JCUR_LNC001979)
Source: RNAcentral